UCAGGCCUAACACAUGCAAGUCGAGCGGUAGCGGGAAGAGCUUGCUCUUUGCCGACGAGCGGCGGACGGGUGCGUAACACGUAGGAAUCUGCCUGGUAGUGGGGGAUAGCCCGGAGAAAUCCGGAUUAAUACCGCAUACGCACUAGCUCUUCAAGAGCGGUGGAAAGGAGGGGAUCUUCGGACCUUUCGCUAUCAGAUGAGCCUGCGUCGGAUUAGCUUGUUGGUGGGGUAAAGGCCUACCAAGGCGACGAUCCGUAGCUGGUCUGAGAGGAUGAUCAGCCACACUGGGGCUGAGACACGGCCCAGACUCCUACGGGAGGCAGCAGUGGGGAAUAUUGCACAAUGGGCGAAAGCCUGAUGCAGCCAUGCCGCGUGUGUGAAGAAGGCCCUAGGGUUGUAAAGCACUUUCAGUGGAGAGGAAAGGUUGAAGGUUAAUACCCUUCAGCUGUGACGUUACCCACAGAAGAAGCACCGGCUAACUCCGUGCCAGCAGCCGCGGUAAUACGGAGGGUGCGAGCGUUAAUCGGAAUUACUGGGCGUAAAGCGUGCGUAGGCGGCCACCUAAGUUGGAUGUGAAAGCCCCGGGCUCAACCUGGGAACUGCAUCCAAAACUGGGUGGCUAGAGUACGGGAGAGGAGUGUGGAAUUUCCUGUGUAGCGGUGAAAUGCGUAGAUAUAGGAAGGAACACCAGUGGCGAAGG
RNAcentral lists this ribosomal RNA (700 nucleotides) under uncultured bacterium. RNAcentral describes it as "bacterial SSU rRNA". It matches the Rfam family "Bacterial small subunit ribosomal RNA", at positions 42 to 721 of the family's 1533-position model. The record is from RNAcentral.